Molecule: long non-coding RNA, 3317 nt
Organism: Heterocephalus glaber (naked mole-rat)
Lineage: Eukaryota; Metazoa; Chordata; Mammalia; Rodentia; Bathyergidae
Source: Ensembl
GACACGUCAGGGCAUGGCCACUGGGAUUAAGAGCUUUGCCUGCUCCUGGCAUGAGAGGAAGUGAACUUAAAGCUCAGUGACCUCUGAAGUUCAGUCAGGGGCAGCGUAGCAUCUUUCAGACUCAGCCUGGUCAGGCCUUUGGAUGGCUUCCCUCAUUCUUGGGUUCCCUGAGUGAGGGGUAAAGUCACAGCAGUGGCCCUGGAUGUCAAGGACACGUCAACCCAACCCAAGUGCACACCCACAGGCGUGAGCUCUGCACUGAGCACACUGAGCCCCAGACCCCUUGGGUCCGUUCCACUCUGGACUCCCAGGGCUUCUCCCCACCCAGCAGCCUGAAACGUCCCCUCCCUGGAGUCAUUCUGGAGAAAAGCCUGAGGUUUCCAAGGGCAGGGACAUCCUCGGGGACCAGAGGAGGCAGGAACAGUCUAGAACCUUCCGGAUGCAGAAACCGCCGCCAGGUGCCCAGGAGCACCCAUCACCUGCAGAGCAUCCUGCACCUGGACCAGGGCUUCUCAGCCUUCCUGAAGCUGCACCCAGGAGCCACACUUCCAGGACAAGAAUUUGGGCUGAUACAAAUGACUGGGAAUGGGUUCCCCUGCUUGGUGUGAUUGCGUCUCUGGCCAGCGAGGACUUGGCGGCUGGAGCCCCUGCUCCAGCUCUCUCCAACUCCAGCUCUAAGGAGCUGGCCUGGCACGAGGAGCCCAAGGAGUGGGCUCCCACAGCUCCACCUGGGGUCCCCUGGUCGCCACAAGGGAAAGAUUGUGUCCCUUGCCAUUUGGAUGGAAGCCCAAGCUCCCAGGUUGUUCAUUGGUCCGAUCCUGGCCCUGGAUCCUUUCGUCACAAGGUUCACCUUGAAAACAGGCCACACUGUUCUCUAAGCCACCUUCAGGAGAAGUCUAAACCCAGGACAAACGCUGGUUUUUGACAAGCCAUUUGCCUCACCCUCCAGCACCCAACCUUAAUGGACCAGAAAAGAGCCAGGUGCCACCCUGGUUGAUAGAGGCAGUUAUCACUGGCUAUUUCAGGAGUGUGUGGAAGGCUUUCCUGGCUCCUCUUGGACCCUGGAAUUCUAUUUCCAACAGGCUUUCAGCAGCCGAGGCUGAGUCGUCUGCCUGGUGACCAGAGCUGAGCUCCAGCGUCAUGGGCCCCUCAGAUAACGUGGCCCACAGUGCCAGGUCCUUGGGCCUGACUGCCGCCUGUCAACAUCCGAACGAGAGCACUCGGUUCAACCUCACACCCUUGCCUGCCCCUCUUGUCCCUUCUAAAAUUAGACCUGGUGUUCCACUUGCCAUGCCCUUGCUGAACCUCUGGGACAGUCCGAGCAUAGCGGAAAAUCCUGAUGUCCCUUCCCUGCUACCUCACAGACAGCAAGACUUAGGGCCUAAAACUUCAGUUCAGACCAGCCAGUCUUCUUUCCCUUUGGAACAGACUUAGGGUUUUUAAAGCCAACAAAGUAUAAAAUAGGAAGGUACAUUCCAGAAUUUUGUGCUAUAAUAAUAUUUCUUCCCCUAACUAGAUGUGUAAGCCAAUGGAAGUUAUUUUAAUAUCACAGAGGCUCGGUUUCCCAUCUAUAAGAAGAAAGCAGUGCUACUUCCUAGAAGCAGUAUAAUAGAAUCACAUAAGGACAGAAAUCCCUUUGUGGUGCUCAAGACAGAGAACAUGAGAAGAUAUGGAAACACCGUCGAGUGACCCUGGACAGAGGGUGAAGCUGCUACAGAGCCCACCAAGAGCUAGUGAAGGAAACGCAGGCAGCAGACCAGUGGAUGGAUGGGGCGCUGGACAGGGGCUCCUGUAGUAGCAUCAGAGGCUUAGAGGACAUCCACACAGGUCAUCCACAGGGGCCGUGGGAGGAAAGGCAUCAUGGCCAGCGUGGACAGAAAUGGGGGGCAGAAGCUGCAGAGCCUGCAUGGGUGGAGGCCGAGUGCCCACAAAAGCGGGCUCUGCCCUGACAGCACACAGCAUCCCAGGGAGAAGGGGGACGGAAAGGCUGGAAGGCUGCACGCAUACAGGAAGCAAAGUGCUCAUGAGCUGGAGGGAUGCCCAGACCCUCCAAGAUGAGAGGGAUGUGGAGGAGGAGGACAUGGCACAGCCCGACACACAGGGAGCCACCAGGACAGGACUGUGUGACACCCACUCUGCUCUGCCCAGUCCUGCUCUUCCCGCCGCAGCCCCAGCCCAGGAAUGGGCACAGAGGGAGGGACAGGUAGCUCUGCAUGGCCAGUGCCCUCAGGUGGCCAUGCAUGGUCACAGAGCUCGGAGGCAGGAGCAGCUGCUCUGAGAUGGGCCGAGCACACAGAGGACUCUGCCUCUGACCUACAUGGGUUCUGCCACAGAGGGAUGAAAGGAGCAAAGAACACAAAGGCUGUGUGGGAGAGUGGGUAGUGUCUGUACACCAGGAUGAAGUGUGGGCGGGAUGAGCAGACCUCAGGCUCUGAGUGGGCUGCGGCCAGGUGAGACCACAGACCUUGCGGGGCCCGGGACUUGCAGCAGGCCCUGGAGGAGAGGUCAGAGCACCUCUGCACUUGCUCUGCUCCCAUCCAUAAUCGGGGUGCAGACGCCGGGUGCCCACACAUGAGCUCGGGAGGCGUCACACGUGUUUCCCUGCAGGAGCAGGUCGAGCGCCUGCUGGGGAGGAUGUAUUUCCAGCACCCGUGUGGCAGGGAUCCUCCUGCCAGCAUCCUUGCCUCAACCCUGCUUGUCGAAGGCCGACACAGUGUGAUUCUGACCGUGUGGACACCUUAGAUUAUACCGUGGCACGUCAGAGACAUUUGGUUUGAUUGGUUGGUUGCUUUUUGGUGUUUUGAGAUAGGGUCUCCCUGUGUGAUAAAGGUUGGUCUCAAACUCACAAUCCUCCUGCCUCAGCCUCCUGAGUACUGGGAGUGCAUCUGUGCACCACCACACCCAGCCGGCAAGAGAUUAUGAAAAAUCUUUGACUUCGGUUCCCUGGCUCCCUUCAAACCUGAAGAAACAGCUCCCUACCAGCUGUGACUGGCCAGGACUGAAUGAUUACUUUGCAAUUCAUUUAUUGCUAGACAAAAAGAGACUGUCUUUGGCAGUAAGGUAUUUCUGGAACAUUCUGGUGACAUUAAAAGCAUGAUUAUAUAAAAAUGUGGCACAGUCCUAUUAUACACCUUAUUAAGUGGCCAAAUAGUAUUAUAAAUUAUUUCUUGGUAUUCUUAUAUUUGUUCACCAAAUAUUUAAUGCCUCCUAUAUUCCAGGCACUGUUAGGUGCUUGGGGAAGAGCAGGGAAAUGAACAGUCCCGGGAGAGUCUGAGCAGAGGAGAGACUGUCCUGCCUCAUCCUGUUAAAGCCUCUGG